This is a non-coding RNA of Podarcis lilfordi (Lilford's wall lizard), 69 nucleotides long. NCBI's taxonomy places the organism in Eukaryota, Metazoa, Chordata, Lepidosauria, Squamata, Lacertidae. The record is from the annotation of a GenBank genome assembly.
GCCAUAGCUCAGAGGCAGAACAUCUGCUGUACAUGCAGAAGGUCCCAGGUACAAUUCCUGGCAUCUCCA